RNAcentral lists this small RNA (28 nucleotides) under Bombyx mori (domestic silkworm). RNAcentral's name for it is "ovarian small RNA-30991". Lineage: Eukaryota; Metazoa; Arthropoda; Insecta; Lepidoptera; Bombycidae. The record is from RNAcentral.
UGAAGUAGUUGAUAGAAAUGGCAGCAGC